Molecule: long non-coding RNA, 175 nt
Organism: Amblyraja radiata (thorny skate)
Lineage: Eukaryota; Metazoa; Chordata; Chondrichthyes; Rajiformes; Rajidae
Exons: 3
Source: RefSeq, a predicted model, not a curated record
AUUCGGCUGCAAUAGAGAAGCAGGUAAGAAUAAAAGCGCUACAAUGCAGCGGGGAGAGGCAGCAAUGCAGCCAGUGGUGCAUGCAUUCCCUUUAAUGCAGCCAGUGGUGCAUGCAUUCCCUUUAAUGCAGCAAGGGCAGCAUGCACAGCGCAAGCAGGCGGUUCCCCACACUUUA